RNAcentral lists this long non-coding RNA (4452 nucleotides) under Sus scrofa (pig). RNAcentral describes it as "lncRNA (ENSSSCG00050028770.1)". Lineage: Eukaryota; Metazoa; Chordata; Mammalia; Artiodactyla; Suidae. The record is from RNAcentral.
AGACAGAAAGAGGCAGACGAGGAAAAAAGACUUUCUUUUUCUUUCUAGAGGAAUUCUGCCCAGACCCAGCAGCAGUUGGUAGCAAGCAAGCUUUCUCCUGGGUGUCUCCUGGAAAAGUUGCAAAAUUGCUCUUCACCUGUAAGAACAUGCUCUUUAUCUUCCAGUCUCUUCUUGUCAAUUUGGAAACUGCAGACAGCCUGGCUCAGAAGAGAAGACUUGGGGUUCAGAGCCGCCCCCCCUCUCCUGCAGUGGAAAUGGACUUCCCUCGGGUCGAGUACAGAACUUCCCACACAGGCGGGUGGGUGAGUGCCCUUGGCGUUGCCCUCAUUGAUCCGGCUGGACACCAGAAACAGAUAAUCUGGUGAGCAGCUGAGGCACAGACUACCUGGGCUCCCACUUAGAGGCUGAUAUAGGACUGAAGAAGCAGCUGCUCUGUCAAACCUAGAGAUCUUGAACCUGAGGGCUGUGGACAUAUUCUUUGUAUCUUCCCUGCAGCUUGGCACCAGCCACCCCAGACACAAGAAAUUUUGACCGAGUUGGUGCCUUCACCCGGAGCUAAUCUUACUCCUGGAGCCGUAAACAUGAUGGCCGAAGUGACAGCCUGGCUACAAAUCCGUCUGGCAGCUUCAUUAGACAUCUCUCGCCUGACUGAUUAAACUGCGUUUAAGGCCCACUUUUAUUUUUUCAAGCCUUUUGUUUAAAUUAAAAGGUCAUGUUUUCAAGCAAAUAAUCUGCUGCUUCCCUCAAUCCAGCACCAUAAUACAGUUACAUUAUUACUAGUCUUAUCCCAAGUGGUGAGUCGGCUGCCCAGGCACAUGGGCCCCGGUCCCUCCCCUGGGCACAGCCAGGACACUGGGGAAGGGGACAGUUUAUUUAUUUGCAGUAGAACAAAGUGAGGGGGACUGGCUGGGAAACAAUCAAGUUGUUCCUUCACAACAAAAUCCAAAUGGGUUCCUAAUGGGAAAACUGGGUUCCAUACGUAGGACACACCUACAAUUUGAAAUCACUCCUUUCAGAUUUUAGUGGAGGCUUUUUUCUUUGAAUGGACAGUUUCGUAAACCUCCAUAUUUUAUCACUGUCCACUUUUACAAAAAUAACCAAUCAACUUUCUCAGAGCGUGGAUUAUUUACUGCCUCAAGGAAACAGAAACCCACACCGCACCUUAAAUAAUACAUGCUAACUUUUUAUGGUAAUGCAUCACAGGGUUUUUAUUAUGUAUCAGAGCAGGCCCACACUCCUGAGCCCUUCCUGGGGGCCUUCAAGCCACACAAGGGAACGUCACUUACUCUUUCCUGAGACUUUUCUGCUGGUGUGAUGGCAGAUUCAGAAUAAUCAUCCGAGGGAGAAACCAUUACCCAGCUCUUUUAACUUUGUGGACAACCAGAGAAGGCUAUUCCCCAUAUAUUUCACAGCAGGCCCAGGAUGAGGAAUCUGAAAACUAGAGGCUGCAGAUGCGGGCAAGCUCUGGUUGCAAGAGAGGAAGAAACCGUGUUUGCAGCCCUAUUUUUGCCUUUGUCUCCCACGGUUUGUACUGUUUAUAAUGCCUGCCUUUAUUUCAUAAUGUAUUUACCAUGCCUCAGUGUGAGACCAAUUCCUUUGUCAUGAGUGGAUGAAAGAAGCCAGGUCAGGAAGCAUCCACACAGGUGUGGGAUUGAUGCUGGGAACGAAAGUCUUAUUUCCUAGUGCUGAUAUUUUUCAUUUAUUAGUUACAGAAUUUUGAGUUUUAUCUGUUACUAAAUUCUACACAAAAUUGAUUUUUGGAUUAGAUUUUGUCUUUUUUUUUUUAACAUUUUAAAUUAUAAUUAAAUCCUCCAUAAUCAUAAAGGGUUGAGGAGAACUGCUGUUGGCAAACUCCUACUGAGCGUCAGUAACUCGGUGUGAACAGGGUUAGUGAACCAUAUUAAAGAAAGAGUAUUGCCUUUUCAUUUUCAUUUCAAUGAGAUUCUGUUUAUAAUAAAUAAAUCUGCAUAUUGAUACUGCAAAUAAAAUCCAAAAAUUAAAAAAAAAAAACUCCACACAUGUUUUCAUGCACUUGAAAUGUAAACAAUUUCCAUUGAAUUUUGCUGGGCUGUCUGAACCACAAAGCCCAAGUUCUUGACACACAUUCAUGUCAGCCUAUUUGUGGGAGACUCUGCUGCUGCUGACGUGGAAAGAGUACACACACAGGCACUGACAAGAAAGAGAGUCGAGAUUUUUAAACUUACAGGAUUUUUUGGAUUUUCAUCUCUCUAACUUCUGAUGCUAAAAAUCAAAGCAAAACAAGAAACCUGGUUAUAGAAAAUAAAAUUCAGGUAAUGAUAUCAAGACAUUACACAACCUAAAUAAUAUAAAUCAGUUUAAAUACAAUGAGCUUUAAAUGAUUCUGGCUCUAAAAUUUAGACUCAUGAUGAAAAUAUAUUUGAAAGGUAGAAGAUUCCAAAGUAUAUUUAUCUGCUUGUGAAUUGUAUUAAGAAACUAGAGUUUUAAGCUUUUUUUAAAAAAAUUGUCAUAAAAUAACAUUAACACAUUCUCCUAACUCAGGAUCACUUGAGAUAUUUAUUAUGUGAGUAGACUCCUAGUAGUUUUAUAAAGUUCAAACCCUAAAGUAAUUUUAAACCUUAAAAUUUGUAUAAGUCUUUUAAGUAAGGAAACACAUAUGGAAAGUGAUUUGUACCUAGUAAGUGUCUAGCAAAUGUUGGUUGUUGUUACUUUGUUAUUAGAGUAGUUUCUAGACAAAUAUCUGACUACUAAUGAUCAAAGUAAUUAAUAUUCUACAACUUCUAUUUCUGAUCCUAUAUUUCAAAAAAGUAAGCCAAACAUUACUUAUAGAAGACAAAGAAAUAAAUAAAAGUAAAUAAUUUCCAAAAUGUUUUCAGAUACCAAGACCUGAAAAUUAAGUUAAUGAUAACAAUUUUAGGAAAGGUGUAAAAAUUUCCUCCAAAUAGCAGUGCCAGAUUGGCAGGAAGAAGGAGUAAUGUUUUUCUGGUCUUUCAUAUGAUGUUUCUAAUCUGAAAAUAAGAGUCUAUUUGAAAAUCUCUACCAAGUGGGUCUGAAUCCAAAUAACUUACUAUUUGUUCCACUCAUUAAUCAUGUAAGCUCUAAAUAUGUUUUUGAGAAAAGUAUAUUAAUAUUGACAGGCAUAUUUGGCAAAGCAAUAUCAGCUAUACACAAAAGCCAUUUUAAACAGCCUCUUUAAUAAGGUAGGAGAUGAAAAAUACCAGCUCACAAGAGUAUGUGUUUAAUUAGGAGGUAUACUGUACUCAGGGACAUUCUAAUGAAUAAUAAAUGAUGUUUUAUUUCCUGUAUCUGAGACACAAAGCCAAAUCAUCAAGAAUCAAAGCAACUCAAAGUAUUAGGUAACAAUCAGUAAACUUGGGCAAGAUCCUUUUUCCCUCUCAAGUUUAAUUGGCUCAUUGUUCCCAGGAACUAUAAACCAUGGGGUUGGUGGCAGAGCUGAAGUUUACUUCUAUAAAGGAAGAUUAACAUAUUCUGGAACUUUACACUAAUCCUUGUUUUGAGUUAACUCAAGCAGAUUGGAUUAGUAAUUCUUACCUACCACCCACUAGAAGGGACCCUGGCUUCGCUUCUUUGACAACCAGUGGUAUUGUACACCUUCUGUGCAUUAUCUUCCACUGAAAAUGUCCUGGGGAAAGAAAUUGUGUUACAGGGAGAAAGAAACUGUUUUACAUGGGGGUGGGGGUGGGGAGAACCAAGGCCACUCAAAGCUAAGGCCGGUAGUUUCUCUAUUAUCAGCUUGGUGCACAUUUGGUUAAUUCAGGCAGUUGGUGGGGUAUUCUAAGAAGUUCAUUAAACAUUUCCUCGUCACUGAAUUGGCUUUUCUCUGCCCCCCAUCUGGGGAGGGCUGAGGCUGAAAGGCAAGAAGAAAGGCUUCUCCCUUACAACCCUCUAGAACCGUUUCCAUAUUCUUUCUUUCCUUGUCCCUUCAACUCUCAGAUAGGAACAACAACAACAAAAACCUGAACAAUUCCCUAGGGGGAUGAUUAUUUACCCCUGCUUUUAUAAGUACAAUGAAUUUAUAUACCUAUUGACAUGGCGUCUUUAUAGAAGGAAAAUGAACAAAAUCAAGUUCUGCCAAACUACAAGAAAGAUGCCCUUGGCCUGUAGGUUCAGAUCUCACAGGUCUAUGUUUGUUACUGUUUGCCUAAAGAAUUUUGAUUUUCCUGUGGUUGCCAAGGAGGAGGGGAAGGGAGUGGGAUUCAUUGGGAGCUUGGGGUUAAUAGAAAACUAUUGCCUUUGGAAAGGAUAAGCAAUGAGAUCCUGCUGUAUAGCACUGGGAACUAUACCUAGUCACUUACCAUGGAGCAUGAUAAUGUGAGAAAAAGAAUGUAUAUGUGUAUGUGUGACUGGGUCACCUUGCUGUACAACAGAAAAUUGACAGAACAUUGUAAACCAGCUAUGAUGGAAAAAAUAGAAAUCACUAAAAAGAUAAAUAAAAAACACUGAAAAAAAAAA